CAAAGCUUCCGUAGUUUGAGUCACAUGAGCGGUUUGUUGUGGUUUUCAGUGAAUUUAACCUCUUUUAAAAACAUCCAGCUGGCUCACAAACUGCGGCUGUAACAUCACAUUCACUGACGUUUGUUUGAAUUGUCCGGUUAACGUAAAGAAGUGUGUCAUCUUCUCAUAAUUACCGAUAAUUACGGGGAUAUUUAAUCGAGCGGAAGCGUCUCGUGUUUCUGUUUACGACCGUUACAGCGUCAUAACGUUAGCUUGUUUGUUAUGCUAACGUUCGCGCUAGGCUAGGCUAGGCUAGGCUAGCUAUGUUUCCGUCUGGUUUUCACAUUAAUAUAUAAACCGACUUCAUUCUGCUUCUUAACGUUAAUCGUUAACACUGACGUCAUGCUGCGGUGGAUCCUCGGUGGUCGCGAGGCUCAGGGCUCCGCGGAGAAAAGCCCCGUGUUGUGCAUCGGAGAGGAACAGCCCAAAAACUGGUUCACUGAGCUGCAGGUGCUGAAAGGACAUUUUGACAUUGUUCGAUUUCUGGUGCAGAUUGAUGACUUCAGAUGUGCCUCAGCAGGAGACGACGGCCUUGUUCUGGUCUGGAAUAUUGAGACGGGAGAGAGGCUGCAGGAGCUGCGAGGACACUCUCAGCAGAUAACAGCCAUGACCACCUUCACCUGCGAUAACGGACUCACAUCGCACACCUCGCUCAUCACAGCGUCCUCAGACCGAAGUCUCAGCCUGUGGGACCCCGACACAGGAAACAGAGUUCAGACCAUUUCAGACCUUCAGUCCUCUGUGAAGUGUUUGCUGGUGUUGGAGCGUCUGUGUGUGUGGAUCUCGGCCGGUGAGGAGUUGUGUGUGUGGAACAAAGACUUCCAGCUGCAGAGCCACAAACAGAACCACAGCGACACCGGAAUAACGGCUUUGAUAGAGCUGCCCAAGAACUGCCUCGCUGCCGCCAUGGAUAAAGAGAUCGUGAUCUACAGGCUGACGGUCUCCACUGACUCCUCUCUGUCUGUGGCUGAGAUCCGAUGUCUGUCCGACCACCAGGACCAGAUUCGAGCUCUCAUCAACGUCAACGACGGGCUCUUCGCCAGCGGCUCACAUGCCGGCGAGCUGAUCUUGUGGGACGCCGUAGAUUGGAACAUCCUGGCCUAUGAGCACAUCCUGUGGGAGGAGUCACAAGCCUGCGCUCAGGCAGAGAUACGACUGUCCGCUCCCAAACCCAGCGAGAUGUCCAUCCAGCACCUGACCACCAACGGGAGGCUCAUCCUGGCGGCGGUGGGCAGCGGCCUGUAUGUGUACAGCGUUCCGAGCAAGAUGGUGGUCGCCUACAGGAAGGUCGCUCAUGACUCGAACGUGUUACACACCAUGCUGCUGUCGGACAGUGAGCUCAUGUCCUGCUCUGAAGACGGCAGCGUGAGGAUGUGGGAGAUCCAGGACCUGCCGCUACCUGCUGAACCCGCGUCUGCAGGGUUCUUCGGGAUGUGGACUUUCAGUCGGUCAAACAAACAGACCGGUCCUCCGUCAAAGAAGGUCACGGAGGUCCCGAACAUCAGGAUGCUGGAGCUGACGGGCGAUCUGAUCGGACACUCGGGGGCAGUUCAGAUGUUUGUGAGCUUCGGGGAGAACGGUUUGGUCACGUGUUCGGCGGAUCACCUGCUGAUCCUGUGGAAGGACGGAGAGAGGCAGUCUCACCUGCGCAGCCUGGCACUGUUCGAAAAGCUGGAGGAGAACGGAGGACUCUGACCUUUAACCUUUAACCCGAGUCGCUGCCUUAAACUGAGCAGAGUGUUUUUGUUUCCAGCCUGGAGUUUUUCUGUGACAUCUUACUGGACUUCACCUGUGAUGUGUCGCCCUGUCAGGGACGAGCAGAAAUGAUACAAAACAGCAGAGGAUUGGCACGUUGUCGCAGCCGUCGGUGUCCGAGAUGAAGGAGAGGAGACAGAAACACUGUGAAGGCUGAUCGUUACACAACCAGCAGCUACACAACCUGCUUCUGCACUCGGACGACUCGGAGCGAGCGAGGCGUCGAACGACCGGCCGCCGUCUCGACUAAUUGAUAUCAUCGCAUUCAGUCAGUGCAGCUCGCAGGAAAGGCAAGUUUUCUAUCCCACGCGCAAAUCUGGAAAUCGUCUUUGUGAAUAGAAAUCUCUCGUUAUCGACUAGUAAAAAUAUUCUCUCAUGAUCAGUGAGAGCGGUCAUGGAACAUUCAGAGACUCAGGUCAGUGUAGAAAACUCUUCUAUUACAGACGCUGAUCAGAAAUCUCUCCUGCGACAAAAAUAAAACAGCCAAAACAAAAAAGGAACAUCAGCAACAUAAAAGCAUUAAAAACGAUGAUCCAGGUGAGUAUUUACAGGACAGCAGGUACGUUAGGUAGUUUACAGUGUAUCGCAACAGUAGCAGAACUAAACAGUGAGACUUGACAGGAUUAAGGCGUUCGUUAAGACCUCAGUCAUCAGUUUAAUUACUUCAUAUCAAACAUGGAUGGGACCAGUUUGUCUCCUUAAAGGUGAAGUUUGUAAGAAAUGGCCAGAAUUCAAAAAAGUAGCUCCAAAUCUACAGGAGGCAGCAUAACCGCUAACUGCUGCUCACUAUACUCCCAUUAUACAUGAGUGGAACCACAGACUGAUGCAGGAAUGAGCCCGAAAACCUGGAGGUAAGUUUGCAUUUCUGUACUCCUGUUGCCUCGUCGUCAGGGAUUUUCAUGUUUUGUGUUAUGACAUAAAAACAUUUUAAAAAAACUCCUCAGGUUUGAAUUUAAAGAAAUGUUUACAUGUAUUAAACACGCUGGUUGCUAACAAGGAGCUGGUGUGACGACACACUGAACAUGGAGGAUAAUCUGCUGAAGUUCUUUAUCGUUCAUCUGGGGGGGAAAAGCAAACUGCGUGAAACUCAUGAAAAAAGUGGAAAAACAAGUGUUGAAUCAAAAAAUUCACAGGAAAAAAAUUGUGGGAUUUUUUUUUAUAUAUAUAUAUAUUUUUUAUAUAAACAAAAAUUCAGGCAUUUUUCUGUGCAAGAAAAAACUUUUUUUCUUUGUGAAAGUGG
Acanthopagrus latus (yellowfin seabream) is the source of this 3034-nucleotide RNA transcript. It is a transcript of the gene named WD repeat domain 41, with no coding region annotated. The record is from RefSeq and is a predicted model, not a curated record. The transcript has 15 exons. Lineage: Eukaryota; Metazoa; Chordata; Actinopteri; Spariformes; Sparidae.